CACGAAGGGUGCAAGCGUUACUCGGAAUUACUGGGCGUAAAGCGUGCGUAGGUGGUGAGUUAAGUCUGAUGUGAAAUCCCCGGGCUCAACCUGGGAAUGGCAUUGGAUACUGGCUCGCUGGAGUGCGGUAGAGGGUGGUGGAAUUCCCGGUGUAGCAGUGAAAUGCGUAGAUAUCGAGAGGAACACCUGCGGCGAAGGCGGGUUGCUGGGCCGACACUGACGCUGAUGCGCGAAAGCCAGGGGAGCGAACGGG
Molecule: ribosomal RNA, 253 nt
Filed under: uncultured prokaryote
Description: partial 16S ribosomal RNA
Rfam family: Bacterial small subunit ribosomal RNA
Source: RNAcentral